AUGGGUCUAGGGAUGAGUAGGGGACUUGAUCUUUCAGUGGGGCCCAUGGAGAGAAUGGCUUCAGACUUAAUUAUGUCUUUACAAUUCUUGUCCAACUGGUCUGCCCAAGUUACACAGACUGACAAGGAGGUGAGCCAGCAAGCAGUCCUACUUAGAAACCAGGGUGACUCUAAGAUGGAGAGAAAGCCUACAAGGGACAUAUGUACAUUUCACACACUAAGCAUUUUUAUGAUUCCUAUGGCAAAUGUCCCUGUCACCUCCCUUCUUAAACCACUCAUGCCAGCGGUUGCAUCCAUCAUUAGGCUGAAGGAGGCUAAAGGAGGUUACUUAGAUGUUCCCGGAGUUUAAAUGACAUAUGCCUUUAAUGUAAACCUUGCUCUUUCUGGAUUUUUCCUUCAUAUGUAGUACUGGACUGAAUUAGAUAUCAUCAGAGGGCUUCUCUAACUUCAAUACUCUGAAGGUGACCAUUAAAAAUUAGAUGAGGCCUGAAGAGAAAUGAAAUUUGAACAGUGGAGGCUGGGGAAGCUGAUUGACCUAUAUAAUUCUGUUGUCAGUCUGAAAGCAACAAACUCCAUAUUCUAGUUCUUGAUUUCUCUGAAUUCCAUAAGCUCCUCCCGCCCAGGAGUUAAGAAUAGUAGAGACUUAAUAUACAUCCUCCCACCAUGACCUUUUCCCCCUUGUGUCCUAAGAAGAAUUAGUAUAAGUUCUUGGUUUAACUCUUAAUUGCUAUCAGCAGACAUAAAAAGUUUUGUGUAGGGCUCUUUGAACCAAUUAGCAUUUAUAAUUCUAAAAAAUUCUUAUUUUUUCCAGAAGAAAACCCAAACCUAUCACUGUGUUAGAUAAGUUGAGUUUCUAGAAGGAAAUGUGGAUUUUACAUCUGCCACAGGCUUACUGCUCC
RNAcentral lists this long non-coding RNA (898 nucleotides) under Marmota monax (woodchuck). Lineage: Eukaryota; Metazoa; Chordata; Mammalia; Rodentia; Sciuridae. The record is from RNAcentral.